RNAcentral lists this ribosomal RNA (497 nucleotides) under uncultured bacterium. RNAcentral's name for it is "partial 16S ribosomal RNA". It matches the Rfam family "Bacterial small subunit ribosomal RNA", at positions 28 to 507 of the family's 1533-position model. The record is from RNAcentral.
GAUGAACGCUGGCGGCGUGCCUAAUACAUGCAAGUCGAGCGAACGGACGAGAAGCUUGCUUCUCUGAUGUUAGCGGCGGACGGGUGAGUAACACGUGGAUAACCUACCUAUAAGACUGGGAUAACUUCGGGAAACCGGAGCUAAUACCGGAUAAUAUUUUGAACCGCAUGGUUCAAAAGUAAAAGACGGUCUUGCUGUCACUUAUAGAUGGAUCCGCGCUGCAUUAGCUAGUUGGUAAGGUAACGGCUUACCAAGGCAACGAUGCAUAGCCGACCUGAGAGGGUGAUCGGCCGCACGAGAACGGAGACACGGUCCAGACUCCUACGGGAGGCAGCAGUAGGGAAUCUGACGCAAUGGGCGAAAGCCUGACGGAGCAACGCCGCGUGAGUGAUGAAGGUCUUCGGAUCGUAAAACUCUGUUAUUAGGGAAGAACAGAUGUGUAAGUAACUGUGCACAUCUUGACGGUACCUAAUCAGAAAGCCACGGCUAACUACGUG